RNAcentral lists this ribosomal RNA (253 nucleotides) under uncultured bacterium. Its description in RNAcentral is "partial 16S ribosomal RNA". It matches the Rfam family "Bacterial small subunit ribosomal RNA", at positions 524 to 776 of the family's 1533-position model. The record is from RNAcentral.
UACGUAGGGACCAAGCGUUGUUCGGAAUUACUGGGCGUAAAGGGCGCGUAGGCGGCCUGUUAAGUCGAACGUGAAAUCCCCGGGCUCAACCCGGGAACUGCGUCCGAUACUGGCAGGCUUGAAUCCGGGAGAGGGAUGCGGAAUUCCAGGUGUAGCGGUGAAAUGCGUAGAUAUCUGGAGGAACACCGGUGGCGAAGGCGGCAUCCUGGACCGGCAUUGACGCUGAGGCGCGAAAGCCAGGGGAGCAAACGGG